RNAcentral lists this unclassified non-coding RNA (329 nucleotides) under soil metagenome. Its description in RNAcentral is "partial contains 5.8S ribosomal RNA, internal transcribed spacer 2, and large subunit ribosomal RNA". The stretch from base 1 to 120 matches the Rfam family "5.8S ribosomal RNA", at positions 35 to 154 of the family's 154-position model. The record is from RNAcentral.
GAUGAAGAACGCAGCGAAAUGCGAUAAGUAAUGUGAAUUGCAGGAUUCAGUGAAUCAUCGAAUCUUUGAACGCACAUUGCGCCCCUUGGUAUUCCGAGGGGCAUGCCUGUUCGAGCGUCAUUAUAACCCCUCAAGCUCAGCUUGGUGUUGGGGCCUGCUGCACUGGCAGCCCUUAAAAUCAGUGGCGGCGCCAUCUGGCUCUAAGCGUAGUAAUUCUUCUCGCUAUGGAGUCCUGGUGGAUGCUUGCCAUCAACCCCCAAUUUUUCUAUGGUUGACCUCGGAUCAGGUAGGGAUACCCGCUGAACUUAAGCAUAUCAAUAAGCGGAGGA